Molecule: ribosomal RNA, 434 nt
Filed under: uncultured Lachnospiraceae bacterium
Lineage: Bacteria; Bacillati; Bacillota; Clostridia; Lachnospirales; Lachnospiraceae
Description: partial 16S ribosomal RNA
Rfam family: Bacterial small subunit ribosomal RNA
Source: RNAcentral
ACGGAAGGCAGCAGUGGGGGAUAUUGCACAAUGGGGGAAACCCUGAUGCAGCGACGCCGCGUGAGUGAUGAAGUAUUUCGGUAUGUAAAGCUCUAUCAGCAGGAAAGAUAAUGACGGUACCUGACUAAGAAGCACCGGCUAAAUACGUGCCAGCAGCCGCGGUAAUACGUAUGGUGCAAGCGUUAUCCGGAUUUACUGGGUGUAAAGGGAGCGCAGACGGCAUGGCAAGCCAGAUGUGAAAGGCAGGGGCUCAACUCCUGGACUGCAUUUGGAACUGUCAAGCUAGAGUAUCGGAGAGGUAAGUGGAAUUCCUAGUGUAGCGGUGAAAUGCGUAGAUAUUAGGAAGAACACCGGAGGCGAAGGCGGCUUACUGGACAGAAACUGACGCUCAGGCACGAAGGCGUGGGGAGCAAACAGGAUUAGAUACCCUGGUA